RNAcentral lists this transfer RNA (71 nucleotides) under Caudoviricetes sp. Its description in RNAcentral is "tRNA-Phe". It matches the Rfam family "tRNA". Rfam says of the family: Transfer RNA (tRNA) molecules are approximately 80 nucleotides in length. Lineage: Duplodnaviria; Heunggongvirae; Uroviricota; Caudoviricetes. The record is from RNAcentral.
GAAAGAGUAGCUCAGUUGGGAGAGCAUCAGGAAAAUCCUGCUGGUCGGUGGUUCGAGUCCAUCCUCUUUCU